This 76-nucleotide transfer RNA is filed under the name Thermoproteota archaeon. Its description in RNAcentral is "tRNA-Arg". It matches the Rfam family "tRNA". Rfam says of the family: Transfer RNA (tRNA) molecules are approximately 80 nucleotides in length. Their secondary structure includes four short double-helical elements and three loops (D, anti-codon, and T loops). The record is from RNAcentral. Lineage: Archaea; Thermoproteati; Thermoproteota. RNAcentral also lists the same sequence under 1 other name.
GGGCCCGUGGCCUAGUAUGGAUUAAGGCACCAGCCUGCGGAGCUGGUUAUCGUGGGUUCAAAUCCCACCGGGCCCG